Molecule: transfer RNA, 71 nt
Filed under: Perbrinckia punctata
Lineage: Eukaryota; Metazoa; Arthropoda; Malacostraca; Decapoda; Parathelphusidae
Description: tRNA-Val
Source: RNAcentral
UGUACUGGAAAGUGUAUCUAGUAAUUUAUUAAAGUAUAGCUAAACAAGUUUAGUAUUUCAUUUACGUUGAA